Molecule: ribosomal RNA, 253 nt
Filed under: uncultured bacterium
Lineage: Bacteria
Description: partial 16S ribosomal RNA
Rfam family: Bacterial small subunit ribosomal RNA
Source: RNAcentral
UACGGGGGGUGCAAACGUUGCUCGGAAUUAUUGGGCGUAAAGCGCACGUAGGCGGCUCGUUAAGUCGGAUGUGAAAGCCCGGGGCCCAACCCCGGAACUGCACCCGAUACUGGAUGGCUUGAAUCCGGGAGAGGGAUGCAGAAUUCCAGGUGUAGCGGUGAAAUGCGUAGAUAUCUGGAGGAAUACCGGUGGCGAAGGCGGCAUCCUGGACCGGCAUUGACGCUGAGGAGCGAAAGCCAGGGGAGCAAACGGG